GAUGAACGCUGGCGGCGUGCCUAAUACAUGCAAGUCGAGCGAACGGACGAGAAGCUUGCUUCUCUGAUGUUAGCGGCGGACGGGUGAGUAACACGUGGAUAACCUACCUAUAAGACUGGGAUAACUUCGGGAAACCGGAGCUAAUACCGGAUAAUAUUUUGAACCGCAUGGUUCAAAAGUGAAAGACGGUCUUGCUGUCACUUAUAGAUGGAUCCGCGCUGCAUUAGCUAGUUGGUAAGGUAACGGCUUACCAAGGCAACGAUGCAUAGCCGACCUGAGAGGGUGAGCGGCCACAGGGGAACGGAGACACGGCCCAGACGCCGACGGGAGGAAGCAGUGGGGAGUCUUCCGCAAUGGGCGAAAGCCUGACGGAGCACCGCCGCGGGAGUGAUGAAGGUCUUCGGAGCGUAAAACUCUUUUAUUGGGGAAAAAAAUAUGUGUAAGUAACUGUGCACAUCUUGACGGUACCUAAUCAGAAAGCCACGGCUAACUACGUG
Molecule: ribosomal RNA, 497 nt
Filed under: uncultured bacterium
Lineage: Bacteria
Description: partial 16S ribosomal RNA
Rfam family: Bacterial small subunit ribosomal RNA
Source: RNAcentral